UACGUAGGUGACAAGCGUUGUCCGGAUUUACUGGGCGUAAAGAGCGCGCAGGCGGUCGAUCAAGUCGAGUGUGAAAGCCCCCGGCUCAACUGGGGAGGGUCAUUCGAUACUGAUCGACUCGAAGGCAGGAGAGGGUAGUGGAAUUCCCGGUGUAGUGGUGAAAUGCGUAGAUAUCGGGAGGAACACCAAUGGCGAAGGCAGCACUCUGGGACGUGACUGACGCUGAGACGCGAAAGCGUGGGGAGCGAACAGG
Molecule: ribosomal RNA, 253 nt
Filed under: uncultured bacterium
Lineage: Bacteria
Description: partial 16S ribosomal RNA
Rfam family: Bacterial small subunit ribosomal RNA
Source: RNAcentral